CCACGUGGGACACCCCCCCCCCCCCAAAAUUGUCUGAACAUACUCUUCAUUGCAGUUAUUUGGCUCGAGCUGCAGCUGCUGAAUAGUUUUUGAGCUCCAGGUCCUGUUUUAUAAAUGCAAGAUGGUCAUCUCAAGUCUACCUUCUCGAAUGCUGAACACGCACCGGGCACCUAUCUGGACCCUGGUUUCAGUGUCCUUGGAAGACCUUGUUGAUGCUGUAAAGUGAGCUUUGAUGGACAUGGCUUUAAGCAGAGAUGUUCUUUACCUGAAGAUCUGAGGAAGUCUUGAGAUGGGUUUAUCAUCCCACUGAAAUGAAAAUGGCUUCACAUUGAGGUCUUGGCUGAUGAGGUCUCUCUUGAAUGGCAUGGACUGUUUUCAGGAACAAGAUCCCCUGAUGGUCUGCAGAGGAUUUGUGCCAGGUUUGGCCUGACUGAAGCUUUAAACAGAUGUUGGAUGCCCUUGGGGAAAAGACUUGAUCAGGACUAAAACCUGUACAUGAAGAUAUUGAAGCUGUAAUGCAAAAGGUCUUCUCUACUUGUAUUGUAGAACUAUAUUAUUUUGGUGCUGGAGCCUGUGGAAAUGAAAAUGACUGUAAAUCAGAGACUUGAAGUGCUUGGGUGCAUACUGCUGUAUGGUCUGGAGUUUCACCCAUGAUUUUUAAAAUAAAAACUUUUUGCUUUAA
Molecule: long non-coding RNA, 682 nt
Organism: Silurus meridionalis
Lineage: Eukaryota; Metazoa; Chordata; Actinopteri; Siluriformes; Siluridae
Exons: 13
Source: RefSeq, a predicted model, not a curated record